RNAcentral lists this ribosomal RNA (547 nucleotides) under uncultured bacterium. RNAcentral's name for it is "bacterial SSU rRNA". It matches the Rfam family "Bacterial small subunit ribosomal RNA", at positions 355 to 896 of the family's 1533-position model. The record is from RNAcentral.
UGGGGAAUAUUGCGCAAUGGGGGGAACCCUGACGCAGCCAUGCCGCGUGAAUGAAGAAGGCCUUAGGGUUGUAAAGUUCUUUCGGUAUUGAGGAAGGUUGAUGUGUUAAUAGCACAUCAAAUUGACGUUAAAUACAGAAGAAGCACCGGCUAACUCCGUGCCAGCAGCCGCGGUAAUACGGAGGGUGCGAGCGUUAAUCGGAAUAACUGGGCGUAAAGGGCACGCAGGCGGUUAUUUAAGUGAGGUGUGAAAGCCCCGGGCUUAACCUGGGAAUUGCAUUCCAGACUGGGUAACUAGAGUACUUUAGGGAGGGGUAGAAUUCCACGUGUAGCGGUGAAAUGCGUAGAGAUGUGGAGGAAUACCGAAGGCGAAGGCAGCCCCUUGGGAAUGUACUGACGCUCAUGUGCGAAAGCGUGGGGAGCAAACAGGAUUAGAUACCCUGGUAGUCCACGCUGUAAACGCUGUCGAUUUGGGGGUUGGGGUUUAACUCUGGCGCCCGUAGCUAACGUGAUAAAUCGACCGCCUGGGGAGUACGGCCGCAAGGUUA